RNAcentral lists this ribosomal RNA (360 nucleotides) under uncultured bacterium. RNAcentral's name for it is "partial 16S ribosomal RNA". It matches the Rfam family "Bacterial small subunit ribosomal RNA", at positions 338 to 696 of the family's 1533-position model. The record is from RNAcentral.
CCUACGGGAGGCAGCAGUGAGGAAUAUUGGUCAAUGGCCGGAAGGCUGAACCAGCCAAGCCGCGUGCAGGACGAAGGCGCCAUGCAUUGUAAACUUCUUUUGUCAAAGGACAAAAUCAAGUACGAGAGUCUGACCGAGGGUACUUGAAGAAAAAGCAUCGGCUAACUCCGUGCCAGCAGCCGCGGUAAUACGGAGGAUGCGAGCGUUAUCCGGAUUUAUUGGGGUUAAAGGGUGCGUAGGCGGACUGUUAAGUCAGCGGUAAAAUCCCGGGGCUAAACCCCGGCGCGCCGUUGAAACUGGCUGUCUUGAGAGGUCGAGAGGUAGGCGGAAUGCGCAGUGUAGCGGUGAAAUGCUUAGAUA